RNAcentral lists this transfer RNA (71 nucleotides) under Arthonia susa. RNAcentral's name for it is "tRNA-Thr". Lineage: Eukaryota; Fungi; Ascomycota; Arthoniomycetes; Arthoniales; Arthoniaceae. The record is from RNAcentral.
ACAUAUAUGAUUACCUCAAGCUAUGGAGGGUUUGUAUAGGGCUCUCCUUAAUAAAUUUCACUAUAUGCGGG